CGGGGGGCCACCCCGUGCAUGACAAAGGCCACUUUGGAGCUGUUUGCGGAGUGGAGCAGGCGCGGGAGGGGCGCGUCCCGGUCGCUCCCUUCGAAAGCCGUCACCUGGCAAAACAAGAGGAAGAAGGCCAGGGAGUGGAAUAUGUUGCUGCCUUGGAGUUUGGUGGAGCCCCCUUUUGACCCCCUUUUCUUUUACCUGGAAAGCGAUGCUCCCAUUCCAACCGGUCCCUCCGUGAUCGGCGCAAACGCCCCGGAAGGUGGCCGUCAGAUCCGACUGGUUCCACUUCCCAUCCAGACUGUCCCAGGUGAAGUUGGCCAAGUCGUAGGCGGGAUAGAAGUCACCCGCCAGCGCUUUGGAGAGAUCCGACGUGUUGGUGCCAUUGUACUCGUACACCUUUAGAAAAAACAUCAAGUCCAGGAUGUCGUUUUAUUUAUUUCUUUUUUUUAAAAAAUUAUUAAAGUUUCAAGUGAAAGCGAAAGAGUGAGAACAACUUAAAGAUAGGACAGAAGUAUGGAAAAAAAGAAAAAGAAAAGUGAAAAUAAGAAAUAUGUGUACAUAAUAAUAAUAGUAAAAAAAAUGAUAAUAAAAAAAGAAAAAAGAUUUUUUUUUUUCAAAAAUGUAAAAAUUGGUUGACUUCCGUUCUUCUUCCUUUGCCCUUUAAAGGAAUUCUGGGUAAAAGCCCCUGUUCCUGUCUCUCUCUUGAAAACAUACACACAUACAAAAAGUUCACAUUCUUUCCUCCAUUUUAUGUCUAAUUAUCAUCAUAUCUUUUAUUUACUUCUUUUUUAAAUAUUCCUUGAAAUUAGUCCAGUCUGUCAUUUUCACUCCCUUUCCGUUAAUUUGUUUUAACAGAAAGGUCAAUUUGUCCAUAUUUUUUAUUUCUCUUAUUUUAUCCAACCCUUGUGUUUUUGUGGGGAUUAAAUCUUGCUUCCAAAAUUUCGCGAAGACCAUUCUAGCCGCUGUUAUAAAAUAAGUAAACAAUUUAUCUGUAUUCGGAUUCUUAAAAAACUCUGCAUCAAACAUUCCCAGUAAAUACACUUCUGGCUUCACCGCAAAGUCUACUUGUAAUAUUUUUUACAUUCAUUGUGAAUCAUUUUCCAAUAUUUUUCUGUUUCCCCACAUGACCACCACAUGUGGUAGUAUGAGACUUUUUGUUGUUUACAUUUCUACAUGGGGUUUUGUUUUUGAAACCUGCACCGGGCUUCUCCAAAGUGUAGGUGCUUGCUGGAGGGACGAGACUCUUCCUUAGGGCAAGCACCUGGCUUGCCGGGAGGGAUAGUAGGGCCUCCCUAUUAUCCGAAAGUUUCGGUUAUCCGACAUUCCGCCCAUCCGUUUAGGUUGGAUAACCAGAACUCUACUGUAUAUGUGUAAAUGUUGAUGCAAUAUCCCCUUUUGUCUAUGUAACCAAUAUAAUUAUUAUAAAACCCAG
Molecule: long non-coding RNA, 1429 nt
Organism: Anolis carolinensis (green anole)
Lineage: Eukaryota; Metazoa; Chordata; Lepidosauria; Squamata; Anolidae
Exons: 2
Source: RefSeq, a predicted model, not a curated record